ACGGGAGGCAGCAGUGGGGGAUAUUGCACAAUGGGGGAAACCCUGAUGCAGCGACGCCGCGUGAGUGAUGAAGUAUUUCGGUAUGUAAAGCUCUAUCAGCAGGGAAGAAAAUGACGGUACCUGACUAAGAAGCUCCGGCUAAAUACGUGCCAGCAGCCGCGGUAAUACGUAUGGAGCAAGCGUUAUCCGGAUUUACUGGGUGUAAAGGGAGCGUAGACGGCGUGGCAAGUCUGAUGUGAAAGCUAUGGGCUCCACCCAUAAACUGCAUUGGAAACUGUCAUGCUAGAGUGUCGGAGAGGUAAGCGGAAUUCCUAGUGUAGCGGUGAAAUGCGUAGAUAUUAGGAGGAACACCAGUGGCGAAGGCGGCUUACUGGACGAUAACUGACGUUGAGGCUCGCAAGCGUGGGGAGCAAACAGGAUUAGAUACCCUGGUA
Molecule: ribosomal RNA, 434 nt
Filed under: uncultured bacterium
Lineage: Bacteria
Description: partial 16S ribosomal RNA
Rfam family: Bacterial small subunit ribosomal RNA
Source: RNAcentral